This 252-nucleotide ribosomal RNA is filed under the name uncultured bacterium. RNAcentral's name for it is "partial 16S ribosomal RNA". It matches the Rfam family "Bacterial small subunit ribosomal RNA", at positions 15 to 263 of the family's 1533-position model. The record is from RNAcentral.
GAUCAUGGCUCAGGAUGAACGCUAGCUACAGGCUUAACACAUGCAAGUCGAGGGGCAGCAUGACCUAGCAAUAGGUUGAUGGCGACCAGCGCACGGGUGAGUAACACGUAUCCAACCUACCGGUUAUUCCGGGAUAGCCUUUCGAAAGAAAGAUUAAUACCGGAUAGUAUAACGAGAAGGCAUCUUCUUGUUAUUAAAGAAUUUCGAUAACCGAUGGGGAUGCGUUCCAUUAGUUUGUUGGCAGGGUAACGG